Molecule: small nuclear RNA, 103 nt
Organism: Arvicanthis niloticus (Nile rat)
Lineage: Eukaryota; Metazoa; Chordata; Mammalia; Rodentia; Muridae
Source: RefSeq, a predicted model, not a curated record
UUGUUUUGGAAGCACAUAUACCAAAAUUGGGAUAUUACAAAGAAGAUUAUAAUGGCCCCUGUGCAAGGAUAUCACUUGAAUUUGUGAAGUGUUCCAUAUUUUU